UGCAUAUCAAAAAAGCGGAGGAAAAGAAACUAACAAGGAUUCCCCUAGUAACGGCGAGUGAAGCGGGAAGAGCUCAAAUUUGAAAUCUGGUAGCCUUCGGUUGCCCGAGUUGUAAUCUAGAGAAGUGUUUUCCGUGCCGGCCCAUGUACAAGUCCCUUGGAACAGGGCGUCAUAGAGGGUGAGAAUCCCGUCCUUGACAUGGACCCCCGGUGCUUUGUGAUACACUUUCAACGAGUCGAGUUGUUUGGGAAUGCAGCUCAAAAUGGGUGGUGAAUUCCAUCUAAAGCUAAAUAUUGGCGAGAGACCGAUAGCGAACAAGUACCGUGAGGGAAAGAUGAAAAGCACUUUGGAAAGAGAGUUAAACAGUACGUGAAAUUGUUGAAAGGGAAACGAUUGAAGUCAGUCAUGCUCUUAGGAUUCAGCCGUUCUGCGGUGUAUUUCCUUUGAGUGGGGUCAACAUCAGUUUUGAUCGAUGGAUAAAGGCACGAGGAAGGUAGCACUCUCGGGUGAACUUAUAGCCUCGCGUCAUAUACAUUGAUUGGGACUGAGGAACGCAGCAUGCCUUUAUGGCCGGGAUUCGUCCACGUACAUGCUAGGUAUGUGACAUAGGUC
RNAcentral lists this ribosomal RNA (612 nucleotides) under Naganishia adeliensis. RNAcentral describes it as "LSU rRNA". It matches the Rfam family "Eukaryotic large subunit ribosomal RNA", at positions 37 to 631 of the family's 3401-position model. Lineage: Eukaryota; Fungi; Basidiomycota; Tremellomycetes; Filobasidiales; Filobasidiaceae. The record is from RNAcentral.